RNAcentral lists this ribosomal RNA (2349 nucleotides) under Triticum aestivum (bread wheat). Its description in RNAcentral is "partial small subunit ribosomal RNA". Lineage: Eukaryota; Viridiplantae; Streptophyta; Magnoliopsida; Poales; Poaceae. The record is from RNAcentral.
AUGGAGGUUUCAGAAGAUCGUAGAGUUCCUUUGGUCGCAUACAAACUGAAAGGAGGAGCCGGUGCAUGGUGGCAUCGCGUUCAAGAGGAGCGCAGGCUCAGAGGAGAACCUCGUGUUAGAACUUGGCGACAAAUGAAAGGCCUCUUGAAAGGGAGAUUUUUGCCCGAUGAUUAUGACCAGAUCCUAUUUAUCCAAUUUCAAAAUUGUGCUCAAGGAAAUAGGACUGUUUCAGAUUACACGGAGGAGUUUCUAAGGCUACAAGUGAGGUGCAACCUUGCUGAAACUGAAGAGCAACAAGUUGCAAGGUACAUCAAUGGUCUCAAUGAUGCUAUUCAAGAUCGAUUGAUGAUGCAACAAAUCUGGUCCGUUGAUCAAGCACAAGCUCUAGCCUUAAAGGCCGAGAGGUUUGUGAGGAUGAGAAAGACAACUAAGGCUCCAUAUCCUCCAUAUUCUCAUACCGAAGGCUCAUCUAGGAGCCAACCUAACAGAGUGGAAGAAAAGACCACUCCACCAAAGACAAAACAGCCCAUCCCGAAGCAAACUAGAGGCAAGGGUAAGGCAAAUGAAGGCCCAAAGUGCUAUAAAUGUGGUAAAGAGGGACACAUAUCCAGCGGCUGCCCACUAAGGAAAUUUGUUAACACGACUAUCCAUGAUGGUGAAAGCGAUGAGGAAGAAUACGAAUCUGAAGAUGUAGACGGACAAGAGGUUUGUCAAGAAGAAGGUGAAGAGGUGGUAUGUGUGAUCCAGCGUGUCCUAUGUUCCACACCACAACUCGAUGAUACACAACGGAAGAAAAUAUUUGAGAGCAAAUGCACGGUGAAUGGCAAGGUAUGCAAACUAGUGAUUGAUAGUUGCAGCUGCGAGAAUCUUAUCUCCCAGAAGUUGGUGGACCAUUUAAAGCUUGAAACCCAUGAUCAUCCAAAUCCCUACACUAUUGGAUGGAUCAAGAAAGGAGUGAAUAUGAGGAUCACCAAACAAUGCAACCUGCCACUUUCUUUGGGUAAGCAUUAUCGCUCAAAUGUGUUGUGUGAUGUGGUUGACAUGGAUGCCAGCCAUGUUCUUCUUGGGAGACCUUGGCAAUUUGAUGUGGAUACUACACACAAGGGCAAGGAAAAUUCUUACUCUUUCAUUUGGAACAAGAGAAGGAUCAUUAUCUUACCAAACAAACCCAAAGGUAAUACCUCUAAGGAGGAGGGGAAAACUAUGUUAACUAUCUCCCAUACCUCUCAUGAGUUUAUGGAAGACUUGAAGGAGGCAGAUUUGUGUGCUGCACUUGUUGUAAAGGGAGAAGAGCACCUGACUGUUGAAAUUCCAGCAAAGGUACGUGGUUUAUUGGCAGAAUUUCAAAACAUACUUGGGGAGCCACAUGGCUUGCCACCGAUGAGAGGAAUUCAACAUAGAAUUGACUUAAUUCCGGGAGCAAGUCUUCCUAAUCUUCCACACUAUCGAAUGAGCCCAAAGGAGCAUGGUAUAUUGAAGGAGAAAGUGGAGGAAUUGUUGCAAAAGGGGCACAUUCGAGAAAGUAUUAGCCCAUGUGCUGUACCAGCCCUACUCGCGCCAAAGAAAGAUGGAUCUUGGCGCAUGUGUACGGACAGUAGAGCCGUUAACAAGAUCACCGUAAGGUAUAGAUUCCCUAUUCCCCGUCUGGAUGAUAUGUUGGAUCAGCUUAGUGGAGCAAGAGUGUUCACAAAGCUAGAUUUAAGAAGUGGAUAUCAUCAAAUCCGUAUAAGACCCGGGGAUGAAUGGAAGACCGCCUUCAAGACAAAGGAAGGGUUGUUUGAAUGGCUAGUCAUGCCAUUUGGACUCUCAAAUGCACCAAGUACCUUUAUGCACUUAAUGAAUCAAGUCCUUAGACCCUUCUUAUCCCACUUUGUUGUGGUCUAUUUCGAUGACAUCUUGAUCUAUAGCAAGGAUGAGGAUGAACACUUUGAUCACAUUCGGAAGGUGCUAGAAGUACUAAGGGAAAAUGAGCUCUACGUCAACUUGAAGAAAUGUGUUUUCCUGCAAACACAACUUCUUUUCCUAGGAUUCGUCAUAACAUGUGACGGCAUUCGUGUUGAUGAUUCUAAGGUUGAAGCAAUCCAAGAAUGGCCAACUCCUAAGACCAUUUUUGAGGUAAGAAGCUUUCAUGGCCUUGCAACUUUCUAUAGGCGAUUUGUUAAGAAUUUCAGCACUAUCAUGGCACCAAUUACCGAGUGUUUGAAGAAAGGAAAGUUCCAAUGGGCAGAAGCAGCUGAAGCUAGCUUCAAUGAGAUUAAACAAAAGCUAUCACAAGCUCCUGUCUUGGUACCACCUGAUUUCAACAAGACUCUUGAGUUGGAGUGUGAUGCAAGUGGAGUAGGCAACUAG